AGACGAAGUCUCACUCUGUCACCCAGGCUGCAGUGCAGUGGCACGAUCUCGGCUCACUACAACCUCCACCUCCCAGGUUUAAGCGAUUCUCCUGCCUCACCCUCCUGAGUAGCUGGGAUUACAGAGUGAAGCCAAAGGCACAGGAAGCACAGCUGGAAUGGGGACAUAGGAACGCGGGGGCUCCCAUGAGUUGACCGGACAACUGAGAGAUGGCAACCUAGACCUGGGGAGCUGACAUAAAAAACACUCAAGAGAACUGAGUCUGGAAAAUGUGAGAAGAAAGUUAAUUUUGGCAAAUUUCUGAGAAAUGAAAAGACGUAUCAACAAGAAAUUUCAUUUCUAAGAGGACAAAAUAUGCUAUGUUUUCGUGAAUCCAUGAUUCGACCUGAAGAAGAAGGAAAGAACUGGACAUCCAGAUGAGUACAUUGAUAUCGAAGAAAAAAAGAGGAGGGAGCACACAGGUGAGCAGGUGCAGGAACCAGCCGGACAAUUUGCCGCCAGCAGGAAUGAACUCCAAGCAGGCCCCACUGCAGUAUCCAGGUCGGGGUGCCUGUGACUUCUGAAGCCACAGAGGCAUUCUUUUGCUACUUACAUGGUGGAACUCCUUGAACAGAAUAACAGACCAUAGUGCCUGCCUGGAAUUCAGACUGGAAAAGAUUGAAAUAUCUGUGUAGUUCAUAUAUCUGAAACACUGACUUCAUCUCACUCAUGAGAAUUCAACAGUUAUGCUAAAGAUUGUGUUAUGGGAGCUCCUAGAGAGCUAGUCCAUCAGGCUCUAAAUUUUUAAACGUGUAAGUUUCAGAAUCACAGAAAUCUUAGAAGAUAUUGAACAGCUAAAGCUUUGAAGCAACGAGACUUUAGAUCCUCUCUCCUCAUUCCUAUUUUCCUCAUCAUAUCAACCUUUUUAAGAAGCAGAAGAAUGAUGAAAGAGAUGGGGCCAACACUCUCAGAGGUGAGAAAAACAGCUGAGCACUGUGGAGGCGGAAGAUACAGAGAGCUCCAUUGCAGCCACAGUGAUGGAUGGCAUCGAUAGAGAAAAUCCCACAAAAGAGCUUGACUUUUCUCAUGAAUCUGCAGUUUCUUCCGAAAAAGUGAAAUUUUAUCAAAUGUUGAGACCCAGAAAAGUUAUCUGUAGACUUCAGCCUUUGCAAAAAAAUGGAAGAAACAAUUGAGAAGCAGACACAGAAGUCAAACUUUUUCAAUAAGCUAAAUUGGAAGAAAGGGCUUAGCACACGGUGUUUCCUAAUCUUUCCUGCCAACCAUUUAUUUAAGCUCAGAUCUUGGGAAGCCCAUCUAAGGGCUUCCAAAGAGAAAAUGCUACUUAUCAAGAAUCAUGCCUUUCCUGUUGCAGAGUAGAAGUAAACAAAAUCAAGAAAUCUCCAAUGCUCACACAAUUUUAACAGGUUUGGCCAAUACAACAGAGACGUGAAAACCAACAGAUGUCCCCCACCAAUCCAGGAAUGAGUGAAUUCUUGCUCUAUCAGGACCUGUGAGACUUCCCUCAAGAGCUGGUUGUUAAAAAGAGCCUAGGACCUCUUCCCUCUCUUGCUUCCUCUCUUGCCUUGUGAUCUUCACAUCCUGACUCUCCUUCACCUUCCACUCUGAGUGGAAGUUUCCUGAGGCUCUCGCAAGAAGCAGAUAUCGGCACCAUGCUUCUUUUACAGUCUUCAUAGUCCUGAGAACAAAACAGUUCAGAUCAACUCAACAAUAUUCCAAGUGGGCUUUGCAGAGCAUCUUCUGGACUAAGUAGAAGGAGAAGGAGAAGGAGCCAGACCUUCCCUGUGGCCAUGCUUUCUCUAAAACAGCCCUGAUGACUUACUUUUUCAGGUUGAGGUCUGAGUAAGCC
RNAcentral lists this long non-coding RNA (1846 nucleotides) under Homo sapiens (human). RNAcentral describes it as "HSALNT0362424". Lineage: Eukaryota; Metazoa; Chordata; Mammalia; Primates; Hominidae. The record is from RNAcentral.